Molecule: ribosomal RNA, 484 nt
Filed under: uncultured bacterium
Lineage: Bacteria
Description: partial 16S ribosomal RNA
Rfam family: Bacterial small subunit ribosomal RNA
Source: RNAcentral
AUUGAACGCUGGCGGCAGGCCUAACACAUGCAAGUCGAGCGGACGAAGGGAGCUUGCUCUUGGAUUCAGCGGCGGACGGGUGAGUAAUGCCUAGGAAUCUGCCUGGUAGUGGGGGAUAACGUCCGGAAAGGGGCGCUAAUACCGCAUACGUCCUGAGGGAGAAAGUGGGGGAUCUUCGGACCUCACGCUAUCAGAUGAGCCUAGGUCGGAUUAGCUAGUUGGUGGGGUAAAGGCCUACCAAGGCGACGAUCCGUAACUGGUCUGAGAGGAUGAUCAGUCACACUGGAACUGAGACACGGUCCAGACUCCUACGGGAGGCAGCAGUGGGGAAUAUUGGACAAUGGGCGAAAGCCUGAUCCAGCCAUGCCGCGUGUGUGAAGAAGGUCUUCGGAUUGUAAAGCACUUUAAGUUGGGAGGAAGGGCAGUAAGUUAAUACCUUGCUGUUUUGACGUUACCAACAGAAUAAGCACCGGCUAACUUCGUG